UCCCUACUGGCUCAGAUGGUAAAGAAUCUGCCUGCAAUACAGGAGACCAGGGUUUGAUCCCUUGGUUGGGAA
This 72-nucleotide transfer RNA is filed under the name Bos taurus (domestic cattle). It matches the Rfam family "tRNA". From Rfam's summary of the family: Transfer RNA (tRNA) molecules are approximately 80 nucleotides in length. The record is from Rfam by way of RNAcentral. Lineage: Eukaryota; Metazoa; Chordata; Mammalia; Artiodactyla; Bovidae. RNAcentral also lists the same sequence under 3 other names.